Molecule: ribosomal RNA, 119 nt
Organism: Oncorhynchus kisutch (coho salmon)
Lineage: Eukaryota; Metazoa; Chordata; Actinopteri; Salmoniformes; Salmonidae
Source: Ensembl
ACUUGUGGCCAUAUCACCCUGAACAUGCUUGAUCUCGUCUGAUCUCGGUGGCUGAGCAGGGUUGGGGCUGGUUAGUACUUGGAUGGGAGACCAUCUGGGAAUGCCAGGUGCUGUAAGCU